AGCAGCCGCGGUAAUUCCAGCUCCAAUAGCGUAUAUUAAAGUUGUUGCAGUUAAAAAGCUCGUAGUUGAAUUUCGGGAUCAAUAUAUCGGUCGUGCCUCCGGUAUGCACUGGUAUUAUUGAUUUCUACCUUCUGACGAAUCAUGAUGUCAUUAAUUUGGUGUCAUGGGGAAUCAGGACUGUUACUUUGAAAAAAUUAGAGUGUUUAAAGCAGGCACACGCUUGAAUACAUUAGCAUGGAAUAAUGAAAUAGGACGUUUGACCCUAUUUUGUUGGUUUCUAGGAUCGACGUAAUGAUUAAUAGGGAUAGUUGGGGGCAUUAGUAUUCAAUUGUCAGAGGUGAAAUUCUUGGAUUUAUUGAAGACUAACUACUGCGAAAGCAUUUGCCAAGGAUGUUUUCAUUAAUCAAGAACGAAAGUUAGGGGAUCGAAGACGAUCAGAUACCGUCGUAGUCUUAACCAUAAACUAUGCCGACUAGGGAUCGGAUGAAUGUUAAUUUUAAUGACUCAUUC
This 510-nucleotide ribosomal RNA is filed under the name uncultured Glomeromycotina. RNAcentral describes it as "SSU rRNA". It matches the Rfam family "Eukaryotic small subunit ribosomal RNA", at positions 569 to 1081 of the family's 1831-position model. The record is from RNAcentral. Lineage: Eukaryota; Fungi; Glomeromycota.